This is a long non-coding RNA of Folsomia candida, 749 nucleotides long. RefSeq lists it as uncharacterized. The record is from RefSeq and is a predicted model, not a curated record. The transcript is spliced from 2 exons. Lineage: Eukaryota; Metazoa; Arthropoda; Collembola; Entomobryomorpha; Isotomidae.
AUUUUAUGUAGGUUAAUCACCUCAAUAUAAAAGAGCACAAUUCAAUCAGUUCAGCCCAAUCCAAUUUAUCGAAUUGUAUAGAAAUACAGAAUUCUUAUCUUGGACAGAAAUUAUUCACAGGCUUCAACAAGGAAAAUGAUUUAUCUAACAUUAUUCAUUUGCUUUAUAAGCUUAUGCUUCUUUGGAUUCGUCCGGCCUCAAAUUUCACUCGGGACACCGGUCAAAAUUACGAAUUAUGGUUCAGGAAAUGCCCUCUCAACUCAGUCAUACCCCGCCGUCCGAGCCUUUAUGGCUGACGGGUCUGCAAAUUUCGCCUGGGUUUAUAAUUCUGACGGGACAAUAACAAACUACGACAGCUCAACGACCGGUGGGACCCGUGGCUGCUUAUCGGACCCCUAUGUUGACCAAUACAUUUACCUGGAACCAUGCAACUCCACAAAUCGUUUCCAGACGUGGGAACUCGUAAAAUCGAAGAGGAAUGGAAUAUAUCAACUAAAAAAUUUGGGGUCAUACACUUGUCUGAGUAAUGACGUGAAGUGGAUCGUAAAAAAGCAAAACUGCGCUGAUGUCGAAGGUGAUCCGUACAUUUAUCAACAAUGGAUUGUUAGUAUCCUCUCGCCAUCCUAGUGAAUAACUUGGUCCUUGCGCAUGUAUCAUUAGUUUUGCAUCUGUUAAAUAAAUAUGUUAGUCAAAUAAAUCACUAAAUACAUACUUGGGAAUAACAACAUACCAAUUUAUGAAGAGUUACA